AGCAGCCGCGGUAAUUCCAGCUCCAAUAGCGUAUAUUAAAGUUGCUGCAGUUAAAAAGCUCGUAGUUGAAUUUCGGGAUCAAUAUGUUGGUCGUGCCUCGGUACGUACUAGCUUAUUGGUUUCUCCCUUCUGACGAACCAUGAUGUCAUUUAUUUGGUGUUAUGAGGAAUCAGGACUGUUACUUUGAAAAAAUUAGAGUGUUUAAAGCAGGCUCACGCUUGAAUACAUUAGCAUGGAAUAAUGAAAUAGGACGUUUGAUUCUAUUUUGUUGGUUUCUAGGAUCGACGUAAUGAUUAAUAGGGAUAGUUGGGGGCAUUAGUAUUCAAUUGUCAGAGGUGAAAUUCUUGGAUUUAUUGAAGACUAACUACUGCGAAAGCAUUUGCCAAGGAUGUUUUCAUUAAUCAAGAACGAAAGUUAGGGGAUCGAAGACGAUCAGAUACCGUCGUAGUCUUAACCAUAAACUAUGCCGACUAGGGAUCGGAUGAUGUUAAUUUUUUAAUGACUCAUUCGGCGCCUUACG
Molecule: non-coding RNA, 520 nt
Filed under: uncultured Glomus
Lineage: Eukaryota; Fungi; Glomeromycota; Glomeromycetes; Glomerales; Glomeraceae
Also listed under: 1 other name
Description: SSU rRNA
Rfam family: Eukaryotic small subunit ribosomal RNA
Source: RNAcentral